This 63-nucleotide transfer RNA is filed under the name Rhinoestrus usbekistanicus. RNAcentral describes it as "tRNA-Thr". It matches the Rfam family "tRNA". Rfam says of the family: Transfer RNA (tRNA) molecules are approximately 80 nucleotides in length. Their secondary structure includes four short double-helical elements and three loops (D, anti-codon, and T loops). Lineage: Eukaryota; Metazoa; Arthropoda; Insecta; Diptera; Oestridae. The record is from RNAcentral.
GUUUUAAUAGUUUAAUAAAAACUUUGGUCUUGUAAACCAAAAUUAAGAAUUUCUUUUAAAACU